CGGGGUGUAGCUCAGCUUGGUUUAGAGUACUCGUCUGGGGGGCGAGGGGUCGCAAGUUCAAAUCCUGUCACCCCGA
This 76-nucleotide transfer RNA is filed under the name Paludibacter sp. RNAcentral describes it as "tRNA-Pro". It matches the Rfam family "tRNA". From Rfam's summary of the family: Transfer RNA (tRNA) molecules are approximately 80 nucleotides in length. Their secondary structure includes four short double-helical elements and three loops (D, anti-codon, and T loops). Further hydrogen bonds mediate the characteristic L-shaped molecular structure. tRNAs have two regions of fundamental functional importance: the anti-codon, which is responsible for specific mRNA codon recognition, and the 3' end, to which the tRNAs corresponding amino acid is attached (by aminoacyl-tRNA synthetases). tRNAs cope with the degeneracy of the genetic code in two manners: having more than one tRNA (with a specific anti-codon) for a particular amino acid; and 'wobble' base-pairing, i.e. permitting non-standard base-pairing at the 3rd anti-codon position. RNAcentral also lists the same sequence under 3 other names. Lineage: Bacteria; Pseudomonadati; Bacteroidota; Bacteroidia; Bacteroidales; Paludibacteraceae. The record is from RNAcentral.